GGACUACGGGGGUAUCUAAUCCCUUUUGCGCCCCUAGCCUUCAUCCCUCACUGUCAGAUCCGUACUCGCAAAGUGCCUUCGCCAUUGUUAGUCUAAUUGAGAUUAACACAUUUUACCGCUACCUCAACAAUACUCUUUGCGUCUUCCGGUCUCUAGUAAGACAGUAUCUCUUGCACGACUGAUAUUUGAGAUAUCAGAUUUCACAAGAGACUUAUCAAACAAGCUACGAAUGUUUUAGACCCAAUAAAUGUGGAUACGACUUGGACCGCCGGUAUUACCGCGGCGGCUGGCACCGGUCUUGCCCAGUCCUUAUUCAUCUGUCUUUUUGCAACAGAUAAAAGUUUUUCUAAGAAAAACACUCUGGUUUAUUUUAUCACUCUUGCGAGCAUUGUAAAAUUUCCGCGACUGCUGCACCCCAUAGG
RNAcentral lists this ribosomal RNA (422 nucleotides) under uncultured archaeon. Its description in RNAcentral is "partial 16S ribosomal RNA". The record is from RNAcentral.